UACGUAGGAGGCAAGCGUUGUCCGGAAUUACUGGGUGUAAAGCGCGUGUAGGCGGCAGGCUAAGUCUGUGGUGAAAUCCCCCGGCCCAACCGAGGAACUGCUUUCGAGACUGCCAAGCUAGAGUGCGGAAGGGGCAUCUGGAAUUCCCAGUGUAGCGGUGAAAUGCGUAGAUAUUGGGAAGAACACCUGAGGCGAAGGCGGGAUGCUGGGCCGACACUGACGCUGAGGCGCGAAAGCCAGGGGAGCAAACGGG
This 253-nucleotide ribosomal RNA is filed under the name uncultured bacterium. RNAcentral's name for it is "partial 16S ribosomal RNA". It matches the Rfam family "Bacterial small subunit ribosomal RNA", at positions 524 to 776 of the family's 1533-position model. The record is from RNAcentral.